Molecule: long non-coding RNA, 2867 nt
Filed under: Cinara cedri
Lineage: Eukaryota; Metazoa; Arthropoda; Insecta; Hemiptera; Aphididae
Source: RNAcentral
AUUUGUAGCCAUUAAUUAUUAGAUUAAGUUGUUAGUAUUAACCAGAUUAAGAUAACACAUUUACACACGCACACACACAUAGAUCUCCAGUUAUAAGGAGGCCGGCCACUUCUAAUCACCCACAGUGUAUGCAUUGUUCCCGUUGCUUUUGGACAGAUGAUCACAAGCGAGUGUAAAAGACUACGCAGAGAUUCUUACAAAAGCACGGGAACCUAGAACAGUGUUUUAUAUUUAAAAAAUUAAUAAAAAAGAAACAGUUGUUAUAUUAAAAAUCUUUUUAUUUACUACGGUCACCUUAUCAAAUUCAACAGAUCAAUUUGCCGCCUGAAGAAGAAAGGUAAUCAAAUUUAUAAUUAACUUACACGUGUGAAUCUAUUUUACAUAACUAGGCACACCCGACUUAUUUUAGAAUUACACCACUGGUAUACAUUUAAUUUCCUAUUUACCUUCCCAGUUUCUUAUCGAUAAUAGUAGCUCACCUAUCAAGCGAAAUGUGUUUGUUAAUUUUUUUUUUUUUACUUAUCAAAAAAUAAAAUGUAUACGUUAUUUUACAUGUAUAAAACUUUAAACUAAUAAACAUACAUAAUAAUGAACAUUUAAUGCACAAAAGUAAAAUUAAAUAUGUAUAGUAAUUAUUUGUAUUAUUUUUUAUGAAUUAAUGAACAACAUUAUAAUUAAUGACUUUUAUUUUCACUUGCACAAUAUGUCUUCAAGAACCACCUACAACCUUUCUGUAUACCACAGGUUGAAAACCGUUGCCCAAUAUGAUGAUAAAUUUAUAAUAAAAAUAAUUCGUUUUAAUUUCUAUAGGGAGUUGUAAAUCACGUUCGUGUAUCCAAAGAUAUAAUUAAAUGUUCGUAAAAGUUCUUUAUAGGCAAUCAUUUAAUUUCCCAAGGUAAUAUUUCUAUAUAAAACCCAUAACCGUUGCAUAUAACUAUAAUUUUUACAAGCUUAGCCAUUGAAAAAUAAACAUUUUUUUUUAUUUUUUUAUUAUGUUGACAACAUAAUACAUAUUAUAUAAAUUGAAUAACAUGCUAAACGUUAUAAUAAAGUGGAAAGAAUAGGUAUUUGAUUUUUAGACUACACGUUUUUUAUUUUAGAAACCGGAAGAUUUAUGUGAAAAUUGUAAUAUGUAAGUAUUCUUAAGUCAAUAUUAUAUUUUGAUAGGUAAAAAUACUAUAUUUUUUUUUUUUUUUAAUAAACUGUUUAAACUUACACGUAUUUAUAUAUUUUAAACACAUCUAAUUAUCUAAAUGUUCAACUGCCAAGAACGUAUAAUAAUGAGUUAUAUUCGUUAAAUAAAGUUUUAAAAAUGUGCAUAUUCUUAAAGAAAAAACAAUACUGUUGCCAUAAUUUCUUACCUUUAUUAAUAAAUCAUACAGCAGAUCGCUGCAGUUUUCCAAACUCUAAAAGAACCAAAGUAUUCCUAAACUAUAAUUAUACAUUUAUAAAAUAUUAAGUAUUUUAUACAGCAAUUGAUACAACAAUAAAGUCUUAUGCUAAUCUAUAAAAAAUGUAGGUAUGUACCAUUAGAAAAAAUAUAUAUAUUUUUAAAAUCACUAUACAUUUUUUUCUUCUUUACUCUGUAUUAAUCUAAUAACCUAUGACCUUAUCCUUAUAAUUUAUAAGGUUAAUGUUAGAAUUACAAACUGAUAUUCUUAAUUCUAUAAUAAUUUUUCAAAUAUAAGUUCUUUGAACUACAGAUGCUAAAAGAAAUCUACGAACUUACCCCAAUUCUUCCUAGUAACAAAGCAUCCAUUUCACAUUCAGCGACUGGAUUUGUAGUAGUUGGUGCUGGCGCCGGUUCAUUGAUAAUAUUUUCUUCAGAAUGAACAGUUUUAUCGAUGGUACUCAUUGUAUUCUGCAAAAAAAAAAAUUACUAUCGUAUUAAAAAAAAAGUUUAAUUUAAUCAUUAUUUUUAUAAUAUAAAUAAUAAACAAUAAGUACAAAUUUUAAAUUCUGAAUAAUGCAUUUCUAAUUAUUUUUAAAAAGAACGACACAUACUUUGUACCAUGGAUAUAUAUGUCAUGUUAUAACUUGUGAAUUAGAAGUUGGGAAGUUAAGUUAUAAAGGUUAACUUAAUUUAUAUAUAAACUCAAAAAAUAAACCAUUUCUAUUGAAGACCGAUUCUGAGCAAAAUUUGAUUAAAAACGUUUAAGAAAAGAAAAUCAAUUCAUAACUAGAAAAUAAAUACAACUGUCCAUAUUUUUUUAUCCAAAAAAUUAAAAUUCUUAAAGAUUAGGAAAAUAGUUUGCGAAAUCCGUCGUUUAUACAAUUUUCAAUAAUUCAAUUCAAUUCAAUAAAAUUUGAACUACGGAAGCCUCUAAAAAAAAAUUUGUGACUACAUAAUACCAUUUUUCUAUGUACAAACGAGAUUUUAUGUACUACAAUAGUUAUUUUUGAUUAUUGUAAUAUUGUAUAAUAAUAAUAUAUAAAGUUGUGUUUUUAUUAAAACCCGAAAAAUUAAUUUUAAACUUAGUAUUUAUUUUGUGGUCCUUAUUCAAAUUUGCGCCAUUAUAAUAUGUAUACUCGUAAUAUAGGAAUACUGAAUUGUCAUUAUCAAAUUAAUUUGUUAUAUUUAAAGUGGUGUCAAGUGGACACAUAAUAAAGUACUAAAUAAAGGCACUAAUUCCGUUUACAAACAAACAUUAUUGUCACUAUUAUCACCAGUGGUCGUUGUUAAAUGUUAUACUGUUAUUUAUUGACAUGUUUGUUUUAGAAAACGAAUGGCAACAAACUGCAAAUCGGUUAUCGUGUCUGGACCUUAAAUCAACAACUUAUGUGGUUAUAAGAGCCUUGCCCUCCUUCCCUUCGAUGGACAAAUCACCGUGGAUUGGUCAAUUGCAAUAAAUAAUUAAUAAGGUACC